GUUAAUUUCUUGUAUUGAUCAGCGGUAGUUUGAGAAUUUCAGUAUAAAUAUUUUAUUAGAAAAAUAAUUAAAAUUGAAAUAACUCAUAAAUAUAUGCCAUAUCACAAAAAUUAAUAUGUUAAAAAAUGUCUUAUGGGGUUUUGUUAGUGUUCCGUGUACUACUAACUUACGACAGUUUAAGAUGAAUACAUAUCAAUAUACUAUAACGACUUCUAAAGAUAUUAAAAAGCUAAGACCAUUUAAAAAUCUAAAAGAUCAAAAUUAAGGUCAAAGUACUUUUGACCUAAAAGAGGGACGAAAGAAACCAGAGGGACAGUCAACAUUCUGGUUUUAUUAUCUAGGGUGAUAGUACAAUCAAUAUUUUUUAUUUACUAUUUGGUCUCUUACAGUUUGAAAUUAUAAAUGCUAACAUGAUCUGAUGUCAUAUUUUUAAAAGGUCUGAGAGACAUGGUUAUCACAAAUGACAGAGGUAUAUAAGCAUUAGAUUGGAAAUUGAAAUUGUUUUACUGCAUUUGUAAAAUAUCAAACGUCCUUGUUAUUUCCAAGUGAUUCAUGCAAUCAUGAUAAUUAUUAUUAAUAACAUAUCGUCAAAAUCAUCUUAAAGUUAAAAGUAUUGUUAAAUUCAUUUUGACUUCUAACCAUUUUAUCCUAAACAAGGGAAAAUGAAACAUGUAUUCAGCCUUAAGAAUCGUACAGUCAUCAACAUUGCCAAAGUUAGAUGAGUAACAUUGCGUGAAGUUAGUACAUUGAAUAUUUUUCGGACAUCAGAAUAUCUAAUCGUCACAUUUACCAGUUGGAUUUUGGAUAUGGUCGAACUAUAUAUGAUUACUUUAUAUUUUUUGUGUUCUAAAUUGUCGUAUAAUAAAACGUUUAAAAAUAAAAAGUAGAGCAGUCAUAAGUAAAAUAACAACAAUACCGAACUCCAAGAGUCUUAGAAUACUUUUAAGAUGAAUUUGAAGAAGGUUUUAGAAUAUCUUUAUACUACAGCAUUUUCUGUUCAUUUCAUUAAUAUGUUAAGUAAAUAUUGUUGUAGAUGCUGGUUUGAAAAUGCACUUGGUAUGCAAAUAGAUAAUAUAGAAUGAAAAUCAUGAACAUUUAUUGACGCCAUAUUUCUUUUGCUUUUAUUUCAACAACAUAUUAUGAAUAUGCAUAUUUU
This 1156-nucleotide long non-coding RNA is filed under the name Mytilus galloprovincialis (Mediterranean mussel). The record is from RNAcentral. Lineage: Eukaryota; Metazoa; Mollusca; Bivalvia; Mytilida; Mytilidae.